GAUGAACGCUGGCGGCGUGCCUAAUACAUGCAAGUCGAGCGAACAGACGAGAAGCUUGCUUCUUUGAUGUUAGCGGCGGACGGGUGAGUAACACGUGGAUAACCUACCUAUAAGACUGGGAUAACUUCGGGAAACCGUAGCUAAUACCGGAUAAUAUUUUGAACCGCAUGGUUCAAAAGUGAAAGACGGUCUUGCUGUCACUUAUAGAUGGAUCCGCGCUGCAUUAGCUAGUUGGUAAGGUAACGGCUUACCAAGGCAACGAUGCAUAGCCGACCUGAGAGGGUGAUCGGCCACACUGGAACUGAGACACGGUCCAGACUCCUACGGGAGGCAGCAGUAGGGAAUCUUCCGCAAUGGGCGAAAGCCUGACGGAGCAACGCCGCGUGAGUGAUGAAGGUCUUCGGAUCGUAAAACUCUGUUAUUAGGGAAGAACAUAUGUGUAAGUAACUGUGCACAUCUUGACGGUACCUAAUCAGAAAGCCACGGCUAACUACGUG
RNAcentral lists this ribosomal RNA (497 nucleotides) under uncultured bacterium. RNAcentral's name for it is "partial 16S ribosomal RNA". It matches the Rfam family "Bacterial small subunit ribosomal RNA", at positions 28 to 507 of the family's 1533-position model. The record is from RNAcentral.